UUUUCCAGGUCUCGGUUCCUGCUUUUCCUGUUCCUAAAACCAUCUGCAUUCAGCAGUCAUCAUUCAGGAACUGCCUCACUGAUAACAACAGCCAUCUCUUGGACAACUCCAGGGAAAAACAUCCUUUCUACAAUUUUCUAACCUGGUCCAAGAGGUUAGCUGAUUAGAGACCUGCAGCAUCAAGAAUGGCAACUUCUACUCCAAAAAGUUAAAAAAUUUACAGAGGACAAUGAUGUGCAGCCUCCUAAUUUUUGUGGGAUAAAUGAUCAGCUUUCUGAAGAUGGGUAUUUCUGUGGAUUGGAUUCUGUUUUGCUGAAGUAUGCCCGUGUGAAGAAAAACUCAGUCUUUUCCCAGGCUUGAGAUUUGCAUUGAACAGGAAGACUAUGUUCACUCUUCUGAGGCUAAUGACCAAGUGAAUUUUCCCUCCCUCAGGCUGUUAUUUACCGAAGACUAUCAGACUUUGGUCACUCUCAGUGCUAGCACUUCUUUGGAUGCCUCUUUAGGGAAAUCAAUGUUCAUAUCACUUCAAACAUAGCUUUAUAGGGGGAAUGCAUAUUUCAAAUAUUAUCUGUAUAUUGUGACCACAAUAUAUUGUGAAUGUAGCUCUAUUAAUACACCCUAAAGUAAGCAACAGAAAGAACAGAUGGAAAAGAGUUUUAAAGCCUUUGUAAGAAAUCCCAAGUAGUUUCCAGAAACUAUGUCAAAGUUAGCAUAACAAUAAUUGCACCCACAGUUGUUCCUUCUAGAAAGAUUUGAUACGGUAUGUAUAGGACUUCAUUGUUUUGUAUUGCAUUUCUACAGCUUUUAGUCUCAUUUAGAGUUUGGAAAGUGAAGCUAUUGGAAACUUGGCUUUUCUCCCCUAGCUGAGGGCCAACCAAAACACUGGAUAUGUCUUGUCAGAUGUAAAUGAUAGGAUACUAUGUUGUGAUGUGUGUCUUUUAGAGACCAAAUCCCUGUUUGUAGAGGUUUUAUGUUGACAUGGGAAUCAUGCGCCACUUCAUCAGGAGUUUCAUUCUCAAACCAAUGUAAUUAUAAUAAAAUACAAUAAAGUAGAACCAAGCCACAACUAAAGCA
Molecule: long non-coding RNA, 1074 nt
Organism: Oxyura jamaicensis (ruddy duck)
Lineage: Eukaryota; Metazoa; Chordata; Aves; Anseriformes; Anatidae
Exons: 4
Source: RefSeq, a predicted model, not a curated record